UCGCCUGCAGCUGGAAGUCAGAGAGGAAAGUGACGUCGGGGGAGAAGGCAGAGUUGUGUAAACAAAGUUGGAAAAACGGGUGAAAAUCUUUUUUUUUACUCCCAGUGGCCAAGAUGGCGAGGAGGAGGGAUUAUUCGUAUAUCAGCCCGUGUGUGAAAUGGACGCUUUUCUUCUUCAACUUCAUAUUUUGGCUGUUUGGGAUGUUGGUGUUGGCUAUAGGGCUGUAUGGAGUUGUGUUCACGGCUCAGGACUUACACGGCCUCAAGUCUGUUGAAACGGCCUACAUCAUCAUCACAGAUCUGUCAGGAGUUAUGGUGGUACUCGGCAGCGUUAUCUUCAUUGUGUCCUUCGCAGGGUGUGUAGGGGCUCUGCGGGAGAACCUCUGUCUGCUGAAGCUGUACUUCUGGAGCUUGACAAUCUUCCUAAUUGCUGAAUUGAUGUUUGCUAUUGCCUGCAUCAUUUUCCCAUGGAAGUCUAGGGAGAUUAUUGAACACUUGCUGUCAAAGCGCCUCAUCGAAGAGUACAGGGAGAGCCAAAACACCCAGAACUUUGUUGACUUCCUUCAGACUGAGUUUGCUUGUUGUGGAAUCACGGUAGAAGGUUACUUGGACUGGAAUGCAAAUGAAUACUUCAACUGCUCAGAGUCAAGCCCAAGUGCGGAGAAAUGUGGUGUGCCAGCUUCCUGUUGUUUGAACAGAAAAAAUUUGACACACUUUGACUUUAUGUGUGGGUAUGAUAUGCAAAAUAAAAAACCUCAUGAAGCCUCAGAAACCAUUUACACUGGAGGCUGUGUGACAUCCAUCAUUCAGUUCUUAGAAUCAAACCUCUAUUGGGCUGCUGGAGUCAUAUUUGGGAUCACCUUAUUCCAGAUGUAUGUGACACACCAGGCUCGCUCACUGAUGGACCAGAUUUCCCUACAGCGCUCUCGAUGGUACUCAUGAUUUGUGGAAGAUGAUGUCUUUCACUGAGAUUCUUUUUAUUCCUCCUUCCAUCCAUCCACGCUUUUUCCCUUUUUGAUUAUUAUUGCAAUUAUUCGUUUAAUCCAUGUGGGUUUCAAAAAGAGGAAAUUGACAGGCAGGCACACAAGAUUCCAUAGUAACCUAAAAUCUCAUUGCAUGUAAUCUCUUGCUGUGCUUUUUCUUCCUCUGUUUUCAGCAACGUAGAUAAUUUCUAGUACAGCAAAAAAUUAUUCUAUUUGACAUCUAAGUACAAAUGUUCUCUCGGUAUAAAUGCUUACACUCCCAGCUCAUUAUUAUUUAAUUAUGUAUGUGUAUAUCUGUAAAUGCACAUAUAUACCUAUGUGUAUAAUAUAUGCUCAAAAAUAUGAAACUGUAUGUUUCAUUAUAACUGUGAAUAUAACAGUGUCUUAAAUUAAUAUUUUUGUAAUCGGAGAGAAUAUGUCAUUUUCACUUUGUUGACAAAGGAAGAGGUGCUGCUUUCUCCCCUUCAUUCUUUUUCUAAUAUAUACUCAAAUGUGUUGCCUGCUGCCAAUUUUCCAUUCUUGGGGUGUUUGUUUGUAAUUUUUUCUAUUUCUUUUUCUCUUUCUUUCUUUUUGGGUCAGAUACAUACACAUUUUUAAAAGUGAGAAAUUUAAUUAACUUAAGCAUCCAUAAGAGGAUGAAAAUGCAGUUGCUCUUUGCUGCUGAAGAUAAGUUGCACAAAUAUUUCUGGCAGCAGAGAUGAGCAGGGGGACUUUUUCCCCUUUAUAUCAUUGCCUGCAAAUACAUGUUUUUUUAUUGUGCACAAAUUAUACAGAAUAUAUUUUUAGAACUACUGCAUUAAGAAUGGGAGCUUCAGAGAAGAGGGAUAUAUUUCCAUAUGUAUGAAUGUUUGCAAAUAGUUGAUAAUGUUUUAGUGGGCUAUUGAGCCUGCAUCAUCUUGAUUUGGGCAACACAGUCCAUCAAGUUCAAGUAGUAAAGAUAUUUUCCCCAGAUGUAAAUGGUUUUAUAUGAAUGUCUAGGGUGUAAUAAAGCUCAGGUACUUGACCCCAUGCUUACACCUAGAAUAGAAAAUACUUUGAUUCUCAAGCUAAGUAGUUUAUUUAUUUACAUGCACACAUACAAACAUAUACACAUACAUGAAUAUAAAUAUACAUAAGUACAUAUCCAUAUACAUAUACCUAUACUUAUUCCUACAUACAUAUGCAUAUACGUAUACAUAGACAUAUACAUAUAUAUAUAUAUACAUGUGCGCUCUCUUGCACAUAUAUUUACUCCAAAUAACCAAGAACCUGAUCUGUCUUAGGCAAUAAGAGAAGGCCUCAAAAUGAGUUACUCUGUACGUAAGGAACAAAGUGAUAAGAACAGUCUAUGUAAUCAUUUCUUUCUGAAACGUUUUUUAGUCACUGUGUCUGAUUUUGCACUGUGUAAUUCUACAUGUAUUUUUGAUGCAUAAAGAUUAACAUCUGUGAGUAACGGGUCGUUUGGCUGAACCAUAGGCCUUUUUUUUGGUCAAAUUUUCCAAAUCCAAAACAUUUUCAGAAGUGGAUGAUGUGUUCCAGAAGAAAAAAUGUCAUGGCGAGAAAUGUAAUUACGAAGAUAGAUGUGGCAUCCUACUUUCAUCAUGCAAUUGAUUAACUUGUAUCUUCACAGUAAUGUUGAUCAUAAUCUGAUUUAAUAUUCACAUGUACCGUUUGAGUUGUGCAUUCAUAUAGUAUUUUACAGUGAUGUUCUCUUUUGCGUUAUCUCGGCUGUGUUUUGUGACUGGAUAUUUUGUUUGACAUGUGUGGCUCUAUAUAUAUUAUAUUGUUAUUGCUUAUGUUAUGGUAAACACGGAGAACUGAGAAAUGAUGUGAAUUAAGAUGGUAUUUUAUAUAUAUAUAUAUAUAUAUAUAUAUAUAUAUAUAUAUAUAUAUAUAUAUAUAUAUAAAUAAAUAUAUAUAUAUGUAAUGUAUUACACACAUGUAUCUGCACUAAUAUUCAUAUAUUACUAGAUCUCUUUUAAUUGGGGCAAAAAGAGACUUUUGCCAUUUUUCUAUACAUUCUACUUACAUGGAUGCAAGUCCAGAUUUUUUUCACUCUGAUAUGGAUAUUCUAAAAAAAAAGUAUCCUACAGAAUCCUCAGCCAUUUAUUUGAAAUGCUUAGUUCUUUGUGCUUGAAUUAAAGAUUCUCCCUGUUUGCUACAGUAAUAUUCAAAUAUCUUAUCUGUAUUGCCUAAAACUUUGUAUGAUUCAUAAUUCAUGUGGUUGAUGUUAUCCCUGAGCUCCAUUCUGACUUACUCACGCUGCAUUUGGGUGUGCUGUCCUGCUUUCCACGGGGAAUGAAUCUCAGGUUACGAAGACAAAGGGAUGAGGAACUGGAAGGUCAUGCUUACCUGUUACCAAAGCAAUCUUACUAUUACCAAUGAAGUCACAUGACAGAAGGAAGUUGCCGUUUAGGACUGGUUCAAGUUUGGUGAAUGGUUUGGAAAAUGUUUUUCAUCCAGAUUUCAGCAUUCCAUUUUUCUGUGAAAAAGAGAAGAAGUUUUUUUGUUGUUUUUUUUUAGUAAUUGCACUGUGUUGGAAAUUCUCAACCAUGUCAAUACAGAUGCACAUCACUGCAGGGAAAUCCUUAGAUGUUCUCACUUUGAAAUGCAGAAUCCCAUGCCUUGUAGUUUUAGCCAUAAGUAAAAGAGUAUGAUAGACAAUAGAUAGAUAAGUUAAAUGAUAUUAAAAUGAAAAGUGAAUAGACCAGCUAGAUUCUUACAUGUUACUAAAGCUUUCCUCCAGAUGAUCACGUUGUCGGUGCCUUCCAUGAUAAGUUAACAUACCAUAAUAUCUAAAGUUACACAGUAAGUAAGCAGCAGAAAAACAAAAAAAACAAAAAAACAUGGAAGUAGAGUGGAUCUCUUGAUUGCUUAGAAGUGAGCAUGUGUGCUGAGUAUUUUUAUUUUUAUUUUAUUUAUAAUGUUUUAUUUCUGUGAGUGUGUGUGUGUGCGUGUGUGUGUAUAUAUAUAUAUAUAUAUAUAUAUAUAUAUAUAUAUAUAUAUAUAUAUAUAUAUAUUUAUAUAUAUAUAUAUAUAUAUAUAUAUAUAUAUAUCUCAUGUGUGAUGGAAAGUAAGUUCGAGUUUCUAAGCACUAAGUUCUUAAGCCAUAGUAGGAAAACAAAAUUGAGAGUUUGUUUUUCACAUCUUGUUGGAGAAAUGAUGUUAGGAGAGGCUGCUGUUACAAAACUUUGUAAUUGUUAGAUAUUUGUGCCUAUUUGUAGUAGAAAGUUCUAUAUUACAUUUUUUCUUUCUUUUAUAUCUUUAUGUCAGGGUAUUUGAAGAUAUUAAUAAAAAUAUAUAUAUAUUGAUAGAAACAACUGUGUCAUAUCUCAGUGUCAUAGGUUUAUAACAUCAUGUCCUAUAUGCCUACAUUUCUAUAGGCUUAUUUAGGUACAAAUAGAAUGUGGAGAUUGGCUAUUUUUUAAAGAAAUGAAUGAUCAACCUUUUUUGAUUAAAUGUGAUUCAUACUAUAAUCCCAUAGCCAUUUAAUAGAAUAUAUUUUGAUCUAUUUUAUAGAUUUUGUAAGAAAGUUAUUGACUUGAUUGCAAUUUUGUAUACAUUAUCACAUCCCUUUCAGAUCCAUAUAUAGAAGACAAUUUUAGACAUGUUUUUUUUUUAGUCAUUAUAGCCAUGAAAAUUGUAUGAUGAAACCCUGAAUGUUUUUUAUAUACAUUAUAUUUAUCUAUUUAUCAAUCUCUAUCUAUCUAUUCAGUUAUCUCUCUGUCUAUGUGUAGGGGGUAAUUAGAGACAUCAAAAAUGUCUAGAGUUUGUCACUUCUUAAUUGUUGCGAGGUCUGAAAAGGACAAAAUAUGUAUUUUCAUUAGAAUGAUAUAUUUUAUACAUGUAAUUCUAAUAAAAUGGAUGUACCAUGCAAAAUUGCAAUUAAUGAACUAUUUAAUUUCUGCAAUUGAUAUUCAUCAUUUAAAUGUUCAUUCACCAGAACACAGUAGUCUCUUGUGGUUUAUUUUCCUCCUUCAUGUAAAAGGGAGUGAUCUGUCUAAGCUCUUAGGAUAUGGGUGCCAGUACACACACGCACGUACGCACAUACACAAGUGUGUGCGUGUGUACACUUACACAUACAAGUACUUGCAUAAUUCCAUGCAGUCAGAUAGACUGAAUAGUCAGCUGUAUCAUACAGCUGUAAUAGGCAGCACAAAGAGCACUUUUUAGGAACAAAAGCAGUCUCUAGUACUCACGUGUUUUUAAAGGAGAGUAAAGAAGAGCCUCUGUACAAUCUUAUGCAAGACUGAGCUUUUAUUUGAGUACAGGCCUAAACUUUAAUGUUUUGGACAGAGUAGGGUUUUGAUGUCGUUUUAUAAAUCAGUGGGAUUUAGCAGCUUGUUGUUUGAGUGGAUUGCAGUGUCUAUCAUGAUACCAAAGAAGUAAACUGCAUUUCAGUGAUACACAAUGAUUGUAUAAUUUAGAUUUUUUAUUAUUAUUAUUAUUAAUAGUUAUUAAUGUUAUUGUGUUGUAAAUGUAUGUCAGUGGGAUUUUUAAAAUUAUGACUUAGGUAGUAGACAAAGGGAGAGACAAAUUCUAAAUUAUAUUUAGGGCUGUUUAUUUUUUUGUGCCAUAACCGAGUUGGAUUAAUCUUGAGCAAAAAUAUGGUUGGGGUCUGUCAUUGCAUCUCAGUAGUCCACAGUUUCUUCAAAUAUAUUAAUGAUGAAUUGAAUCUUCACUUGAGUUUGGUGUGAUAUCAAGGCAGGAUGUCUCCAGAAAGGUUAUGGAGGAUUCUUCCAGUGUUAAAUUCUGUGCAGCUGACAUACAUUUUACUGAAUUGAACACAAGACUAUAGUGUAUUCAUUAUUCAUUAUCUUGGUCAGGAAAGUUCCAUUUUUUUAGACCCAAACUAUACCAUCCUUAAUCCCUUUCAUUAGAUCAGCAACUGUAUUAGAAUUAGAUAUUCUUGGAUGAAAAUGCUCAUAUUUUUUUAGAUUGAAAAAUCUGUAUUUGUAAAGAGAACAAAACCUCUUUAUUUUAUUGACAGUUAACAUGACUUCUUACAUUUUCUAUCAUUUAGGAUAUUUCCAAUUCUAUUGUAAAGAAAGUGUAUGUAGAUUCAUAAGGUAGAUAAUAUGUAAUUAACGCACAUAAUGCACAAUUAACCAUACAUGUAUAGGAUACAAAUAUCCAUUGCAUUUAGAAAGAAAAUUAUCCCUUAUUGGUGAAUGGUAUCUUGUUAUUCAUAAAAUACUUACCAAGCAAGAAGUAGAAGCAUUGAAGCUCUAAGGGUCAUAUUGAUAACCAGCAUUGAAGUUUAUGCAGCCUAAGAAGAACUGGUCUGAGAGAGAUCUUGUAGCCUUAAGUUGAGUUACUAAAGUAAGUUAAGGGGACAUAUUACAUGAACAAGUAUGGUGUACCUGUCUGCAAGGAGAGAAUAGUAGUAUUGUGUUUCAAUGCUUCCUGCAGUAAUAUAGGUUGAUCUUAAUAUUAUAAUCAUUACAAAGGCAAUUCUUAAUUCCAUACAUUGUACAUGUUUCCUUUGCCCAUACUAUUGUUUUUCCAUCAUGAUAUCAAAGACUAACUUGUAAAAUUUUAAAUAACUUAUGUCAACUGUAUUUUCUUGACAUAUAUUGCUGUAUAUUUUCUUAUGACAGGUUUUUGUUAAAUAAUGUAUAGUGCUGUGGUGGUCCUAACAGCUUUGGAGAUAAUGUAUGUCCUAGGUAUUUAUCCUUUGAAUUACAGCUUUUGUAAUGAUUAAAACAUUCAAGAAUACUGGAUAUUAAAAAGUGACUGAUACGUGUUAAAUGUGCCUUGUAUGUUGAACUGUCUCACUUCUGUUGACUAUAGUUUAUCAUAGACUUGUAUCUUAAAAAUGCAUUUACAGUAAAUAGUUCAUAGGUUUAGAACAAGCUUUAACAAAAUACACUGGUUAUAUAGAUACUGUACACAUGUUCCCUUUUUUUAUUGAUAUCUAAUAAAUAUAUACUUGAUUUA
RNA transcript from Penaeus chinensis, 6901 nucleotides. It is a transcript of the gene named tetraspanin-33-like, with no coding region annotated. The record is from RefSeq and is a predicted model, not a curated record. Lineage: Eukaryota; Metazoa; Arthropoda; Malacostraca; Decapoda; Penaeidae. The transcript has 8 exons.